AGCUCCAUGAUUUCAGCCAGUUACUUUUUUUGGGAAUAUAUGCUAUUCUGAGAAAGCUGAAGGGCUGACAUUGGAAUAUAUGAGAGCU
Molecule: small nucleolar RNA, 88 nt
Organism: Elaeis guineensis (African oil palm)
Lineage: Eukaryota; Viridiplantae; Streptophyta; Magnoliopsida; Arecales; Arecaceae
Product: small nucleolar RNA U54
Source: RefSeq, a predicted model, not a curated record